GAAAUUUGCAUAAUUUAAUUUAAUUAUAAUUAUUUAUAUAAGUAUUUUAAUUUUUAUUCCCUUAUUAUUUUUCUUUAUUUAGCUAGUAAAGUAUUGUAAGUUAUACCUUUGAGUAUAGAGAGUAGAUUAUGCACCUAUUAUGUUCCACUGUUAUGUACUACUCGAUGGUUAUACCCGGUAUAAAGAUUCAAAACUUACAAAA
Cinara cedri is the source of this 202-nucleotide non-coding RNA. The record is from the annotation of a GenBank genome assembly. Lineage: Eukaryota; Metazoa; Arthropoda; Insecta; Hemiptera; Aphididae.